Molecule: ribosomal RNA, 497 nt
Filed under: uncultured bacterium
Lineage: Bacteria
Description: partial 16S ribosomal RNA
Rfam family: Bacterial small subunit ribosomal RNA
Source: RNAcentral
GAUGAACGCUGGCGGCGUGCCUAAUACAUGCGAGUCGAGCGAACAGAUAAGGAGCUUGCUCCUUUGACGUUAGCGGCGGACGGGUGAGUAACACGUGGGUAACCUACCUAUAAGACUGGGAUAACUUCGGGAAACCGGAGCUAAUACCGGAUAACAUUUGGAACCGCAUGGUUCUAAAGUGAAAGAUGGUUUUGCUAUCACUUAUAGAUGGACCCGCGCCGUAUUAGCUAGUUGGUAAGGUAACGGCUUACCAAGGCAACGAUACGUAGCCGACCUGAGAGGGUGAUCGGCCACACUGGAACUGAGACACGGUCCAGACUCCUACGGGAGGCAGCAGUAGGGAAUCUUCCGCAAUGGGCGAAAGCCUGACGGAGCAACGCCGCGUGAGUGAUGAAGGGUUUCGGCUCGUAAAACUCUGUUAUUAGGGAAGAACAAACGUGUAAGUAACUGUGCACGUCUUGACGGUACCUAAUCAGAAAGCCACGGCUAACUACGUG